AGCGGAGGAAAAGAAACCAACAGGGAUUGCCUCAGUAACGGCGAGUGAAGCGGCAAAAGCUCAAAUUUGAAAUCCCCCGGGAAUUGUAAUUUGAAGAGAUUUGGGUCCGGCCGGCGGGGGGUUAAGUCCACUGGAAAGUGGCGCCACAAAGGGUGACAGCCCCGUGAACCCCUUUAAAGCCCUCAUCCCAAAUCUCCAAAAGUCAAGUUGUUUGGGAAUGCAGCUCUAAGUGGGUGGUAAAUUCCAUCUAAAGCUAAAUACCGGCAAGAGACCGAUAGCGAACAAUUACAGUGAUGGAAAGAUGAAAAGCACUUUGAAAAGAAAGUGAAAAAGUACGUGAAAUUGUUGAAAGGGAAGGGCUUGCAAGCAAACACUUAACUGGGCCAGCAUCGGGGCGGCGGGAAACAAAACCACCGGGGAAUGUACCUUUCAAGGAUUAUAACCCCGGUCUCUAUUUCCAUGUUGCCCCGAGGCCUGCAUUCUAAGGAUGCUGGCGUAAUGGUUGCAAGUCGCCCGUCUUGA
This 522-nucleotide ribosomal RNA is filed under the name Metschnikowia sp. (in: budding yeasts & allies). Its description in RNAcentral is "eukaryotic LSU rRNA". It matches the Rfam family "Eukaryotic large subunit ribosomal RNA", at positions 49 to 657 of the family's 3401-position model. The record is from RNAcentral. Lineage: Eukaryota; Fungi; Ascomycota; Pichiomycetes; Serinales; Metschnikowiaceae.